UAGAGUUUGAUCCUGGCUCAGAUUGAACGCUGGCGGCAUGCCUAACACAUGCAAGUCGAACGGCAGCACAGCCGUAGCAAUACGAUGGGUGGCGAGUGGCGGACGGGUGAGGAAUACAUCGGGACCUGCCCAGACGUGGGGGAUAACGUAGGGAAACUUACACUAAUACCGCAUACGUCCUACGGGAGAAAGCGGGGGAUCUGAAAGGACCUCGCGCGGUUGGAUGGACCGAUGUUCGAUUAGCUAGUUGGUGAGGUAAUGGCUCACCAAGGCGACGAUCGAUAGCUGGUCUGAGAGGAUGAUCAGCCACACUGGGACUGAGACACGGCCCAGACUCCUACGGGAGGCAGCAGUGGGGAAUAUUGGACAAUGGGCGAAAGCCUGAUCCAGCAAUGCCGCGUGUGUGAAGAAGGCCUUCGGGUUGUAAAGCACUUUUAUCAGGAGCGAAAUGCUAUCGGCUAAUACCCGGUAGAGCUGACGGUACCUGAGGAAUAAGCACCGGCUAACUUCGUGCCAGCAGCCGCGGUAAUACGAAGGGUGCAAGCGUUAAUCGGAAUUACUGGGCGUAAAGCGUGCGUAGGCGGUUUUUUAAGUCUGCUGUGAAAUCCCCGGGCUCAACCUGGGAAUGGCAGUGGAUACUGGAAAGCUAGAGUGUGAUAGAGGAUGGUGGAAUUCCCGGUGUAGCGGUGAAAUGCGUAGAGAUCGGGAGGAACAUCAGUGGCGAAGGCGGCCAUCUGGAUCAACACUGACGCUGA
Molecule: ribosomal RNA, 755 nt
Filed under: bacterium enrichment culture clone PA_71
Lineage: Bacteria
Description: bacterial SSU rRNA
Rfam family: Bacterial small subunit ribosomal RNA
Source: RNAcentral